This 220-nucleotide ribosomal RNA is filed under the name uncultured bacterium. RNAcentral's name for it is "partial 16S ribosomal RNA". It matches the Rfam family "Bacterial small subunit ribosomal RNA", at positions 32 to 239 of the family's 1533-position model. The record is from RNAcentral.
AAUCAACGCUGGCGGCGUGCCUAACACAUGCAAGUCGAACGCGAAAGUUCCUUCGGGAAUGAGUAGAGUGGCGUCCGGGUGAGUAACGCGUGGGUAAUCUACCCUUGGGUGGGAGUAACAUCGAAGAUGGCUAUACCGCAUAAUGCAGCGGCUCGACAUCGAGACAGUUGUUAAAGACGCAAUCGCAAGAUUGCGCGCCUAAGGAGGAGGCCUGCGUCNG